Molecule: ribosomal RNA, 301 nt
Filed under: uncultured bacterium
Lineage: Bacteria
Description: partial 16S ribosomal RNA
Rfam family: Bacterial small subunit ribosomal RNA
Source: RNAcentral
CAGUCGCCACGGGAAUACGUAGGUGGCAAGCGUUGUCCGGAAUUAUUGGGCGUAAAGCGCGCGCAGGUGGUUUAAUAAGUCUGAUGCGAAAGCCCACGGCUCAACCGUGGAGGGUCAUUGGAAACUGUUAAACUUGAGUGCAGGAGAGAAAAGUGGAAUUCCUAGUGUAGCGGUGAAAUGCGUAGAGAUUAGGAGGAACACCAGUGGCGAAGGCGGCUUUUUGGCCUGUAACUGACACUGAGGCGCGAAAGCGUGGGGAGCAAACAGGAUUAGAUACCCCCGUAGUCCCUGUCUCUUAUAA